This 253-nucleotide ribosomal RNA is filed under the name uncultured bacterium. RNAcentral describes it as "partial 16S ribosomal RNA". It matches the Rfam family "Bacterial small subunit ribosomal RNA", at positions 524 to 776 of the family's 1533-position model. The record is from RNAcentral. RNAcentral also lists the same sequence under 1 other name.
UACGUAGGGUGCGAGCGUUAAUCGGAAUUACUGGGCGUAAAGCGUGCGCAGGCGGUUCUGCAAGUCAGAUGUGAAAUCCCCGGGCUUAACCUGGGAACUGCGUUUGAAACUACGGAGCUAGAGUACGGCAGAGGGGGGUGGAAUUCCACGUGUAGCAGUGAAAUGCGUAGAUAUGUGGAGGAACACCGAUGGCGAAGGCAGCCCCCUGGGCCGAUACUGACGCUCAGGCACGAAAGCGUGGGGAGCAAACAGG